RNAcentral lists this unclassified non-coding RNA (283 nucleotides) under Hevea brasiliensis (rubber tree). The record is from RNAcentral. Lineage: Eukaryota; Viridiplantae; Streptophyta; Magnoliopsida; Malpighiales; Euphorbiaceae.
CUUGGAUCAACAAUCACUUCAGUUUCUGCAACCCUGCCACCAGCAGGAGCGUAACUUAAGUUAGGUGCAUAAGACUCAAUCUUGGCUUGCCUUCGUAGAGCAGCGUUGAUCUGGCGGAGCUGUUCAUUCAACCGCUGCAAUUCUGCUUUUCGCUGACGCGCAACUAGUCCUCCAACAGUGGCCCCAAUAAGCGCAACAAGCAGCAGUAUGGGCAUGUUGAAGAGCAUGUUGAAGGGAGAAUUAUCAACUUCACAUGUUUCAGCCAAGGCAUCUAAGGGUGAAG